This 440-nucleotide ribosomal RNA is filed under the name Clavibacter michiganensis subsp. insidiosus. RNAcentral's name for it is "bacterial SSU rRNA". It matches the Rfam family "Bacterial small subunit ribosomal RNA", at positions 20 to 458 of the family's 1533-position model. The record is from RNAcentral. Lineage: Bacteria; Bacillati; Actinomycetota; Actinomycetes; Micrococcales; Microbacteriaceae.
UGGCUCAGGACGAACGCUGGCGGCGUGCUUAACACAUGCAAGUCGAACGGUGAUGUCAGAGCUUGCUCUGGCGGAUCAGUGGCGAACGGGUGAGUAACACGUGAGUAACCUGCCCCCGACUCUGGGAUAACUGCUAGAAAUGGUAGCUAAUACCGGAUAUGAYGAUUGGCCGCAUGGUCUGGUCGUGGAAAGAAUUUCGGUUGGGGAUGGACUCGCGGCCUAUCAGGUUGUUGGUGAGGUAAUGGCUCACCAAGCCUACGACGGGUAGCCGGCCUGAGAGGGUGACCGGCCACACUGGGACUGAGACACGGCCCAGACUCCUACGGGAGGCAGCAGUGGGGAAUAUUGCACAAUGGGCGCAAGCCUGAUGCAGCAACGCCGCGUGAGGGAUGACGGCCUUCGGGUUGUAAACCUCUUUUAGUAGGGAAGAAGCGAAAGUG